This 447-nucleotide ribosomal RNA is filed under the name uncultured bacterium. RNAcentral's name for it is "bacterial SSU rRNA". It matches the Rfam family "Bacterial small subunit ribosomal RNA", at positions 355 to 825 of the family's 1533-position model. The record is from RNAcentral.
UGGGGAAUAUUGGACAAUGGGCGAAAGCCUGAUCCAGCAAUGCCGCGUGAGUGAUGAAGGCCUUAGGGUUGUAAAGCUCUUUUACCCGGGAUGAUAAUGACAGUACCGGGAGAAUAAGCUCCGGCUAACUCCGUGCCAGCAGCCGCGGUAAUACGAAGGGGGCUAGCGUUGUUCGGAUUUACUGGGCGUAAAGCGCGUGUAGGCGGACUUGUAAGUUGGGGGUGAAAUCCCGAGGCUCAACCUCGGAACUGCCUCCAAAACUACAAAUCUGGACCUAAGUAGAGGCAAGUGGAAUUGCGAGUGUAGAGGUGAAAUUCGUAGAUAUUCGCAGGAACACCAGUGGCGAAGGCGACUUGCUGGACUUAUGGUGACGCUGAGACGCGAAAGCGUGGGGAGCAAACAGGAUUAGAUACCCAAGUAGUCCCUGAGCGGGCUGGCAAGGCGCAU